Molecule: transfer RNA, 71 nt
Filed under: Marmota monax (woodchuck)
Lineage: Eukaryota; Metazoa; Chordata; Mammalia; Rodentia; Sciuridae
Description: tRNA.Ala
Source: RNAcentral
GGGGUUGUAGCUCAGUGAUAGAGCGCUUGUGUCGCCCACAUGAGGCCCUGGGUUCGAUCUUCAGCACCACA